CUUGUUGUUUACAUGAGUAUAUUUAAUUAGAAUUGUGUGAAAUUGCAGAAAUUGUAUUUUUCUUUAGAGCUUACGGAUUUCAUUAACUAUUUUUCAGUGUGAUGUCACUGCCACACCUAUCCAGAAUCACUUCCAACAAAAAAUUGACAGGGCACCUCUUGACCAUGAUGGUGAAGAAAACAACUAUCAUGCACCAAAUUUCAUUGCACGGUUGGCUCAAUACUUCCUGCCGCAUGCCGCUCUGUGGUCUGGUCUGAUGCUAGGGGAUAUUGGCCGUCAUGGUACAGGCCCAGCAUACCAGCAUUUCAGCAAGAUCCACAAAGAAGUCAGUCAGUCCAAUAAACAGAACUUUACACAAGACAACCGGACACAGGGCAUUAUGGAAAAAAGUCAGUGGGACCUCAAGAGAAUACGAUUCCAGAGAAGGCGACUCACACGAUUUGAUGAUUUUGUGCAGACAUACCAAAAAACUCAUGAUGCACUGAUCAUUGAAUACCAAGACAGAGAAAGAACCAGAAAGAAAUCUUUUCGAGUGGAAAUGGAGCAGUGGAAGAAGAAAAGUCAGGGGCGUAAAGGAGUAUACGUCUCCCGACUAGUGAAGAGUCUCCCAUUCAAAGAAGUCAGAAGCAAGAAGUCUCCAAAGGCAGCCACCAAUGAACCCAAAGAAAAACCCGAAGCUGUGAUCUCGACACAGGAUGAUUUGGAAGCUGCAGACACUGCAGCGGAAAAGGCAACCACAGCCAUCGUACACCCUCAGAAAGCAGCAGUGCAGCAUAUAAGAAGGAGAAAAUCCAAUGUUGAAGGGCCUAUUUGGAAAAACUACAGUGCUACGGGAAAAACAGUUACAAGAAGGCUCUCCCGACCAGCUAAGAUAAAUACUCUGCAAGAAAUCCUUCACCAUGACUACUGGUUGACCAGUGAUGCCAUGGAUCAAGCCAGCUACCUCAUGGCCAAGGAUCAUGACCACAUUGACGGAUUUCAAUCGGUUUUACCGUUUAGCGCAAUUGCACAAGGAGGGAUUGUGGGGACUCCUGAAAAGAAAUUUGUUCAGAUGUUGAACAUCAGACAGAGCCACUGGAUAACGGUCAGCAAUUUGUUUUGCAAUGACACUCAACUCGCCGUUUAUGACAGCCUACGUAGCCCUCUGGACCCAAGAACACUGCAGGCACUGUCCUGGCUGCUAAGGCCACAGUCUGACACUUUGGAAGUUUUGCAACCAGCAGUGCAGCAGCAAGCAAAUUUGAGUAACUGUGGGGUGUUUGCAAUAGCCUUUGCAUAUGCAUUAUGCAAGGGUCAUCAACCAGAACAGUGCAUAUUCAAUGAAGGCAGGAUGAGGGCACAGCUGUACAAGUCAUUCACAAGGAACAACAUCACAUUUCGAAUGAAUGUUGAAGACAGAGAAGCUCAGUCAAACAUCACAACAACUACAGUACCGGUAUACUGUGUUUGCAGAACAGCUCAUUACAAAGAGAUGAUGGUGCAGUGUUCACUGUGCAAAGAGUGGUAUCAUCCCACAUGCGUCAACAUUCCGAGAGCUGUGAUCGGGAAUGAUGACAUCUGGCAGUGUUCCAAAUGUGAACAAGCCAAUAGCACUUGA
Molecule: long non-coding RNA, 1597 nt
Filed under: Gadus morhua (Atlantic cod)
Lineage: Eukaryota; Metazoa; Chordata; Actinopteri; Gadiformes; Gadidae
Description: lncRNA (ENSGMOG00000025862.1)
Source: RNAcentral